Amphimedon queenslandica is the source of this 288-nucleotide long non-coding RNA. RefSeq lists it as uncharacterized. The transcript has 4 exons. NCBI's taxonomy places the organism in Eukaryota, Metazoa, Porifera, Demospongiae, Haplosclerida, Niphatidae. The record is from RefSeq and is a predicted model, not a curated record.
AGAAAUUGUUGAAAAAGUGAAGCAGAAAUACAUGUAUGAUGAGCAAAGGGUCAGUGAGAAGGAAAGAAGUUAUCGGAAUGAUGACAAUACUUCAAGUGAUGAAAAGAGUGACAUUUCACAGUGGACAGUAAGAAAUGAAGAUAUUGAUGGAAAGAAUUGUAAAGAAAUGCAGUCUAAUGAUUGCAGUGUUGAGCCAAGCUUAAAAAGUGGACCCACAUCACAAAUUAUGAGAGCAGAGUAAGAUAUUUAUUUGGGACAAAAUAAUGAUAUGUUCUACUGUAAUAUCAU